This 373-nucleotide long non-coding RNA is filed under the name Setaria viridis. RNAcentral describes it as "long non-coding RNA (SVIR_LNC005737)". Lineage: Eukaryota; Viridiplantae; Streptophyta; Magnoliopsida; Poales; Poaceae. The record is from RNAcentral.
GGGGAGUGGCGCGAAGGCCGGGGAGAAGCAAUGGAGUGCUCUGCCGUGGCGGCGAUUGAGCAAACAGGGCGGUGCUGCAGAACUCCGGGGGUGACGCCAACGAUCAUUGCGUUCUGCCGUCAGGGCGGCGUAGGGGCGGGUAGACUGGUGGUUGGGAUUUGGCGGAAAGCGGGCGUCGUCGUGCGGAAGAGGCGAUAGAAGCGACCGGUUAAACGGCGCUAGAAUCGAGGGCGCACAGGUGAGAAGACAGGCGGACGCGGGCGCGGGGGAGAGCGCGGAACAACAGAUUGUCGGGCGGCGUCUGACAGAGCGGGGAAAGGAACUGUCGCGGCCGCGGUCAGGGUUGGCGGUGGAGGAAUCGUCGUGUAGCGAC